Molecule: long non-coding RNA, 3183 nt
Filed under: Daucus carota (carrot)
Lineage: Eukaryota; Viridiplantae; Streptophyta; Magnoliopsida; Apiales; Apiaceae
Description: long non-coding RNA (DCAR_LNC006876)
Source: RNAcentral
ACCAAGCUGGCAGGGGUACGUGUCAAUUGCUUUGAUACGUGUCUUGCGUGAAAUCAGUUUUUAUAAACUGAUUUACUUUCUUUUCUUUUACAAUCUCUCACCGCCUCUUCUCUCUCCUAAAAUCUCUCCACCGUCUCUCUCUUUCUCUCUAAUCUCUCUCUGCACACCCAUCUCCCCCAAAUCUCUCGCUCUCUCCUGCUCCCUCGCACUCUCCUUGCCCUCUCUCUCUCCCGGGUGUCGCUGCAGUGUUCUUAGCCACCGCUGCUCUGUUUUCCGGCCGCCCAUCGCCGCUCGUGCUCCGAUUCCGGCACCACCAGCUCGUCCCCUCUCUUUUCCCCUCAUUCCCCUGCCUCCCUUUGCUUUGCUGCUGUGCCUGUGCAUCUGUAUGUGUGUAUUUCGAGUGUGUGUAUUAGUGUGUGCCACGAGGCUAUGUGUGUGCGCGAUUAUGUGGUCUGGUGUGGGUGUGUGUGUGUAUAUUCUGGUGUCCGUGUGCGGAAUCAGUGUGUGGGUGCUCAGUAUGCGUGCGUGUGUGCAGGUGGGUAUAUGUAUUUGUGUGUGGGCCCGAGUUGGCCGAGUUUUGACUACCUGGCUGUGUAGAUUAUUCGAGUGGCUCGAGUCCUGAAUUGAUUUUCUUAUACGUGUUUAUUUAUUAUUUCAUUUGCUGGUUCGUUUGACUGAUUAUCGAGGUUAGUUAGUAUUUAUAAAUUAAGUAUUUCGAUUAUUUCAGAGAUUGAUUACAGGUUUGUUGGGAUUGUUGUGUCGAUAUGAUAUCGACUGGUAGUCCGAUAAAUAGAGGAGGUGCUGCCCAAUUUUAAAUAAAAUUUAGAUUUUAAAAUUAUACGGGAGCGUAUCCUAUAAUUAUCAGGCUAUUAAUCGAAUUUAUAUAGUUACUGAUUCGUGAUAUUAUUAUUAAAUCUAUAAAUAAUAUUUAUGUGAUUUGGUAGUCAUAGCAUUAUUAUUAAUGUUAAUGUGUGAAACUGUGUUUACUUGGUAAUUUUAGGAUGUCGAAUAUUAAUAAAUAUUAGUAUUAUUCUUUAUUAUUAUUAUUGCUUGCACUAGUAGUAAUAAUAGUAAAUGAUAAUAUUAAUAAUAUAAAUAUGCGAUAUCUUAAAUAGUUAUAAUGCUAUGCUUAUUUAAUUCAACUUGUAUAUAUUUGAUUUGAAUAGUAUCUAAAUUGAGUAUUAUGGUAAGUGGUAAGUAAAUGUAUGGAAAUAUGUGAUACGUGCUAAGUGCUACGUGUUAAAUGUUAGAGUGUUAUUCUUGAUAGUAUAAUGUAUUAAUAUUGAAUUACUUUCCAUUUUAAAGAUAAGCUGUUAGUUUCUUUCAAUCAUUAUGUGUUUAGGUGCCGCAUGUCUGGGCGGAUUAUUUAUCAUUAUGUGUUAGGUGCCGCAUGUCGGGGCGGGUACUUUUCUUAUGUGAUUUACUGCAUGUCGAGGCAGAUAUUCUUUAUAUUAGUAUUUUAUUUAGUUUAAAGAGCUUGAUUUAAUUGAUUUGAAAACAGGGGGAUAGUCCUAUUUACGAAUAGGUCAUGCCGAAUUUUCUGUAGAAAUAUUAACUUAAAACGCGUUCUCGUGUUGAAUAAUAUUCAGAGAUGGUUGUAAGUUAUAAAACUAUAACGUGUGCUACUUGUUAUGUGCUAUAUAAUGUGCCAUGUAUAUAUUUGUGUAUAUAUAUAUCACGAAAGGGUAGAAAUAGGAUAGUCGUUUCGGAAGGAUACUAAAGUAGUAUCUGUUUGCUUAUAAUAGGAUCGAGCAUUGAGGGCGUGAUACCAAGCAAGGGCAGAAAAUGUGAGAGUUGUAUAGCGGUUCAGUAGCUACGGAUUGUUCGAGACGAGUAGAACCAGACGUUGGGGAUCAAGACUGAAGUUAGAUAAGAUGUCGUAUCAGGCUGCAGCAACCGCAUGAGCGACAUAGCAAAGAAUCAGGAAUAGUUGAUGGUGAUGUCUUGAGAAAGCAGAAUAAGAUAAGGAUGUUAGCUAAGAGUGUAUAAGCUAAGGACCAAAGGCAAGUAUUCCCAUUCCUCUCUUGUAUAUUUGAAAGUGCAAGUAUCCCUAUCUUCACUUAUUGUUCAAGUGAAAUUUUCUUCAAAUCCUAUUAUGCAAGUAUCUUGAAACCUUCUUUUAGAUAUAUUGCAAGUACUCUGGAACUUCCUUGAUAUAUUGCAAGUACCCCUGACAAUACUCUUGCUGGUUCGAGAUUACUAUAUAUGGAGUAAUGUAGAGCAAGAAUGCAUGUCUUUGUUCAAAUAGAUUCUAAAUAAUUGAAUGUUUUAAGUUACGUAUUCCCCUCGUUUCUAUGGAUUUAAUAUCUUUUAAAUUUAGUUUUAGCUGCCAAAGGCCAAUGUGUUGCCUUAUAUUUGGUACCUGUGAAUUAGGACAUGCUUCUACGAAGUGUGAUCCCGUACUAUUACACGUGCUGAUCAGCUGUGAUAGUACACCCGUCAGUGGAAGUUUCAAUCAAAAUUUAUGAUUUGAUUACUUAAGCUAAUAUUGCUUUUGUUUUCCAUUGGAUACUACUGUUUCUUAUCUCUUUACUUCCAGAAGGAUAGCACUUAUUAAUGCUUUACAUUUAAGUAUUUUAUAUAUAUAUUGUUGAGCCUUCUAGUUGCUCAUUCUUCCUUGUUGUUGCUGUGCUAAUCUUUGAGUUACAACUGUUAUGAUUUACUUCAAAAGUCUGCUUUAUUUCAAAUACUCUGAUUUCAUUCAAAAGAAAUUAUAUCUUGUGGCUCUUGCCUUUCUUAUUAUCUUGUUGAGCAUUUUCGCUCACUCUUGCUAUUAUUUCUAACCCUUUCAGCUAGGGAUUGAGAUGUCACCUGUAUAAGCUGCGCGUAAGAUUGAUGCUAGGCGAGAUUGCCAGGGAGAUGUUUACAAGAGUAGUUCUAGUUAGAAUUGUUCUAUUUCAGUUCAGUUGUAAAUAGACUUAUUUAUUUGGUUAUCAGUUACUCUUCUUAUCGAGGUUUAACUGAUAAUGUAGUUUAAGUUGUAAUAAGAUUUUAAGUUUUGGUUUCUGAUUUCAGUACUGUAACCUAUUAGCGAUCCUGUUUUUAGGGGGGUCAAAGUGAUUUUGAUUUAAAUCUCUUUUAAAAUUUCCAGAUUUUGAAAUAUCUGUUUUACCUUCUUCCGCAAAUAUAGGUUUUUAAAUGAUUUUGUUUUAGUGGCACCAAAUCCAGACCCCCGGAUUUGAG